Molecule: ribosomal RNA, 298 nt
Filed under: Flavobacterium gillisiae
Lineage: Bacteria; Pseudomonadati; Bacteroidota; Flavobacteriia; Flavobacteriales; Flavobacteriaceae
Description: 16S rRNA. Bacterial SSU
Rfam family: Bacterial small subunit ribosomal RNA
Source: RNAcentral
AUACGAUGAAGAGUUUGAUCCUGGCUCAGGAUGAACGCUAGCGGCAGGCUUAACACAUGCAAGUCGAGGGGUAGAAGAAGCUUGCUUCUUUGAGACCGGCGCACGGGUGCGUAACGCGUAUGCAAUCUACCUUUCACAGAGGGAUAGCCCAGAGAAAUUUGGAUUAAUACCUCAUAGUAAUACGACUUGGCAUCAAGAUGUAUUUAAAGAUUUAUCGGUGAAAGAUGAGCAUGCGUCCCAUUAGCUAGUUGGUAUGGUAACGGCAUACCAAGGCUACGAUGGGUAGGGGUCCUGAGAG